RNAcentral lists this ribosomal RNA (253 nucleotides) under uncultured bacterium. RNAcentral's name for it is "partial 16S ribosomal RNA". It matches the Rfam family "Bacterial small subunit ribosomal RNA", at positions 524 to 776 of the family's 1533-position model. The record is from RNAcentral.
UACGAAGGGUGCAAGCGUUAGUCGGAAUUACUGGGCGUAAAGCGUGCGUAGGCGGUUUCUUAAGUCGGAUGUGAAAGCCCUGGGCUCAACCUGGGAAUGGCACUCGAUACUGGGAAGCUGGAGUGCGGUAGAGGAGGGUGGAAUUCCCGGUGUAGCGGUGAAAUGCGUAGAGAUCGGGAGGAACAUCAGUGGCGAAGGCGACCCUCUGGACCAGCACUGACGCUGAGGCACGAAAGCGUGGGGAGCAAACAGC